CUGGCGAGCAAAGGGAAUCUCUCCCGGUUGUUGCUCCACCAUGUCAGGGGGGUUUCUUUAGGGUGGAUGCAUUCCUCCUGCAGGUAGCGAGUGAGCUCCAGCUCGGCUCAAACUCUCUUCGGGACGGUUGCAGAAGCAGUGCUUGUCCGGGACUUCAGCAGGUCUCCGAGCGUUUAUUAUUAUUUUUUUGCCGCUGGUGGCAGCUCUGUCUCGGCCAAGGACUCUGGCUGCGCAGCAGCUGACGUACUGAAAACCAAAGUGCUCCCAAAGGAGCGAAGUAACGUUUCGUUUUGAUACCAGUGCAGCCAUCCUUCUCAACAUGCAUCAUUGAGUUGAAUCAAGUUCAGUAAUCGCGGUGGCCCAUGAUGCAGCGCGGUGGGCUUCUUCAUAUUGCGAUAUUUCAUUUUUGCGGUUACCGUGACAGCCCUAUUCCCACCCCUAAUUCGGACUGUAGGAACCUUUUGUAGUUCCUAGAACCUUUUCAGAAACCAGCCCCCUUUGGCGCGCGUUCGACUGAUAGGAACUAGGAACUAUUGCUGGUAGUUCCUGGAACAAUUUCAGCUCCUACUCUGAGGCUGGGACUUUCUGUGGUUCCCGAGGAACUAACGUGACGUCGGCGCUUGGUGACCUACGCCCUUUGCUUGAUUUCCGCAUCUUUUCUGUUCCGAAUCGUGUUUGUUUAUUUAGGAACAGACUGGACUGCGUCCCGGAUACUCCUGCUGCUGCCAGCACUCCUCGCCAAAACUGAACAGCUGCUACACCAGAGCCAGCGUCUGCAGAGGCAUCAGCUUGUUCCAGCCAGCUGCUGGCAGCCUCUGCCCCCCUACACCAGCACCUACACUGCACCUACAACCUACUAACUACCAGCAGCCCUGCCACCCCAGACCUGGACGGAGAAAAAGGGCUGGUACACUUCAGCCUACUGAGCAUGAGAUGCUCGGGUCAGAGGCUGAGCAGGAGGCAGAUGAAUGAACGGUUUAAUACCAUGAUGUGGUUCUUCUGUGGGCUGACAGAGAGGGAGUCUAAAGCAGAUCCUCCACCAGCAGAAGCUCAUGGAGGGUCUCUUGUAUGCAGUGAACAUGUUAGCAGAUAAAAAGAAGUGAACUUAUGACUUCACGUGCACAAAGCAUAUCACGCACAUAUGAACAGUUAUUUUUACACUGAAAUACUUGAGUUUGUAGCAGAUAUGUUUUAAUAAAUGACUUGAAGAGUCAGAAGUAUUCUUUGUCUCUGAGUGAUGUCAGCUAGAUGUAGUUUGGCCACUAAAUAUUAAACUUUUUGUCUACGUUAAGCCUUUCUUAUCCUCUGGUGUGUAAUCUACUCCAGUUACUCAGGUGUGUAAUCUACUCCAGUUACUCAGGUGUGUAAUCUACUCCAGUUACUCAGGUGUGUAAUCUACUCCAGUUACUCAGGCGUGUAAUCUACUCCAGUUACUCAGGCGUGUAAUCUACUCCAGUUACUCGGGCGUGUAAUCUACUCCAGUUACUCGGGCGUGUAAUCUACUCCAGUUACUCGGGCGUGUAAUCUACUCCAGUUACUCGGGCGUGUAAUCUACUCCAGUUACUCGGGCGUGUAAUCUACUCCAGUUACUCGGGCGUGUAAUCUACUCCAGUUACUCGGGCGUGUAAUCUACUCCAGUUACUCGGGCGUGUAAUCUACUCCAGUUACUC
This is a long non-coding RNA of Nothobranchius furzeri (turquoise killifish), 1670 nucleotides long. Lineage: Eukaryota; Metazoa; Chordata; Actinopteri; Cyprinodontiformes; Nothobranchiidae. The record is from Ensembl.